AACACGACUCUCGGCAAUGGAUAUCUCGGCUCUCGCAUCCGAUGAAGAGCGCAGCGAAAUGCGAUACGUGGUGCGAAUUGCAGAAUCCCGCGAAC
This 95-nucleotide ribosomal RNA is filed under the name Polystachya affinis. Its description in RNAcentral is "5.8S ribosomal RNA". It matches the Rfam family "5.8S ribosomal RNA", at positions 1 to 89 of the family's 154-position model. Rfam says of the family: 5.8S ribosomal RNA (5.8S rRNA) is a component of the large subunit of the eukaryotic ribosome. It is transcribed by RNA polymerase I as part of the 45S precursor that also contains 18S and 28S rRNA. Functionally, it is thought that 5.8S rRNA may be involved in ribosome translocation. The record is from RNAcentral. Lineage: Eukaryota; Viridiplantae; Streptophyta; Magnoliopsida; Asparagales; Orchidaceae.